RNAcentral lists this ribosomal RNA (275 nucleotides) under uncultured bacterium. RNAcentral describes it as "partial 16S ribosomal RNA". It matches the Rfam family "Bacterial small subunit ribosomal RNA", at positions 338 to 604 of the family's 1533-position model. The record is from RNAcentral.
CCUACGGGGGGCAGCAGUGGGGAAUCUUGCGCAAUGGACGAAAGUCUGACGCAGCCACGCCGCGUGAGUGAAGAAGGCCUUCGGGUUGUAAAGCUCUGUCGGAUGGGAAGAAAACCUUUGAGGUUAAUAGCCUCAGAGCUUGACGGUACCAUUAAAGGAAGCACCGGCUAACUUCGUGCCAGCAGCCGCGGUAAUACGAAGGGUGCAAGCGUUGCUCGGAAUUAUUGGGCGUAAAGGGCAGGUAGGUGGUCUUGUUUGUCAGGGGUGAAAGCCUU